UGGGGAAUUUUGGACAAUGGGCGAAAGCCUGAUCCAGCAAUGCCGCGUGUGUGAAGAAGGCCUUCGGGUUGUAAAGCACUUUUGUCCGGAAAGAAAUCCUUGGCUCUAAUACAGUCGGGGGAUGACGGUACCGGAAGAAUAAGCACCGGCUAACUACGUGCCAGCAGCCGCGGUAAUACGUAGGGUGCAAGCGUUAAUCGGAAUUACUGGGCGUAAGCGUGCGCAGGCGGUUUGCUAAGACCGAUGUGAAAUCCCCGGGCUCAACCUGGGAACUGCAUUGGUGACUGGCAGGCUAGAGUAUGGCAGAGGGGGGUAGAAUUCCACGUGUAGCAGUGAAAUGCGUAGAGAUGUGGAGGAAUACCGAUGGCGAAGGCAGCCCCCUGGGCCAAUACUGACGCUCAUGCACGAAAGCGUGGGGAGCAAACAGGAUUAGAUACCCUGGUAGUCCNCGCCCUAAACGAUGUCAACUAGUUGUUGGGGACUUCAUUUCCUUAGUAACGUAGCUAACGCGUGAAGUUGACCGCCUGGGGAGUACGGUCGCAAGAUU
This 547-nucleotide ribosomal RNA is filed under the name uncultured bacterium. RNAcentral describes it as "partial 16S ribosomal RNA". It matches the Rfam family "Bacterial small subunit ribosomal RNA", at positions 355 to 895 of the family's 1533-position model. The record is from RNAcentral.